GGACACCACUUGGAGUUUCCUUAGCUCCAGGUCCUGUCUGGGACCCUGCAGCCCAUCUGUCCUUGGCUCUAACAUGCAUUUUCAGCCAUGACUGUGUCAUUCUUCCUACACUUGAAACAAUUGCCAGGAUGUCAUAUAUGUGCUGGGCAGUGGAGUGAGGCUGUACAGGAGCUGCAUUUGUACAAUUCCAGACAACAUCUCUUGGCUGCGUCACUGUGAAGCCCAACUGAGCCUUGGAAGUCUCGUUUUUCUGUAGUAGUAUAAAAGUCUAAGCAGAUCAGA
Cyanistes caeruleus (blue tit) is the source of this 282-nucleotide non-coding RNA. Lineage: Eukaryota; Metazoa; Chordata; Aves; Passeriformes; Paridae. The record is from RefSeq and is a predicted model, not a curated record.